Molecule: ribosomal RNA, 425 nt
Filed under: uncultured bacterium
Lineage: Bacteria
Description: partial 16S ribosomal RNA
Rfam family: Bacterial small subunit ribosomal RNA
Source: RNAcentral
GUUAGGAAUAUUGGACAAUGGGCGCAAGCCUGAUCCAGCCAUGCCGCGUGAACGAUGAAGGCCUUCGGGUUGUAAAGUUCUUUAGCCGAUGAUUAUAAUGACUGUAGUCGGAAAAUAAGCCCCGGCUAACUUCGUGCCAGCAGCCGCGGUAAUACGAAGGGGGCGAGCGUUAUUCGUAAUCACUGGGCGUAAAGCGUGCGUAGGCGGUCUCGUAAGUUAGGAGUGAAAGCCCAGGGCUCAACCUUGGAAUUGCUCUUAAAACUGCAAGGCUAGAAUCUCGGAGAGGAUAGCGGAAUUUCCAGUGUAGCAGUGAAAUGCGUAGAUAUUGGAAGGAACACCAGUGGCGUAAGCGGCUAUCUGGACGAGUAUUGACGCUGAGGCACGAAAGCGUGGGGAUCAAACAGGAUUAGAUACCCCAGUAGUCC